Molecule: ribosomal RNA, 219 nt
Filed under: uncultured bacterium
Lineage: Bacteria
Description: partial 16S ribosomal RNA
Rfam family: Bacterial small subunit ribosomal RNA
Source: RNAcentral
UAAUGUAUGGGGAUCUGCCCGAUAGAGGGGGAUAACUACUGGAAACGGUGGCUAAUACCGCAUAAUGUCUACGGACCAAAGCAGGGGCUCUUCGGACCUUGCACUAUCGGAUGAACCCAUAUGGGAUAGCUAGUAGGUGGGGUAAAGGCUCACCUAGGCGACGAUCUCUAGCUGGUCUGAGAGGAUGAUCAGCCACACUGGGACUGAGACACGGCCCAG